UGAUCCUACGGGACGCAGCAGUAGGGAAUCUUCCACAAUGGACGAAAGUCUGAUGGAGCAACGCCGCGUGAGUGAAGAAGGGUUUCGGCUCGUAAAGCUCUGUUGGUAGUGAAGAAAGAUAGAGGUAGUAACUGGCCUUUAUUUGACGGUAAUUACUUAGAAAGUCACGGCUAACUACGUGCCAGCAGCCGCGGUAAUACGUAGGUGGCAAGCGUUAUCCGGAUUUACUGGGUGUAAAGGGCGUGUAGGCGGGGGAGCAAG
This 261-nucleotide ribosomal RNA is filed under the name uncultured bacterium. RNAcentral describes it as "partial 16S ribosomal RNA". It matches the Rfam family "Bacterial small subunit ribosomal RNA", at positions 334 to 587 of the family's 1533-position model. The record is from RNAcentral.